CGCUCAUCCAGAGGGGCAGAGGGAAACGGCCCGUUGAAGCCCCGGCAACCCUCCAGUCGGUUACUCGUCCUCCAGCGAGGUCCCCGGCUAGGGAAGGUGCCAAAUCCGUCUCAUGGCGAAAAAUUCGUCAUGGGAAAGAUGAGGA
Molecule: regulatory RNA element, 145 nt
Organism: Streptomyces vietnamensis
Lineage: Bacteria; Bacillati; Actinomycetota; Actinomycetes; Kitasatosporales; Streptomycetaceae
Rfam family: SAM riboswitch aptamer (S box leader)
About the family: The SAM riboswitch is found upstream of a number of genes which code for proteins involved in methionine or cysteine biosynthesis in Gram-positive bacteria. The SAM riboswitch acts at the level of transcription termination control.
Source: Rfam